This 85-nucleotide transfer RNA is filed under the name bacterium. RNAcentral describes it as "tRNA-Leu". It matches the Rfam family "tRNA". From Rfam's summary of the family: Transfer RNA (tRNA) molecules are approximately 80 nucleotides in length. The record is from RNAcentral.
GCACUCGUGGCGAAAUUGGCAGACGCGCUAGACUUAGGAUCUAGUCCCGAAAGGGGUGGGGGUUCAAGUCCCUUCGAGUGCACCA